GACGAACGCUGGCGGCGUGCCUAAUACAUGCAAGUCGAGCGAACGGGCGGAUGGGUAAGUAACGCGUGGGUAACCUGCCCUUAGGGCUGGGAUACCAGUUGGAGACAGUAGCUAAUACCGGAUACGAAAGGAUGGACCUGCGAUGAAUUAGCUAGUGGGUAAGGUAACGGCUUACCAAGGCGAUGAUGCAUAGCCGAGUUGAGAGACUGAUCGGCCACAUUGGGACUGAGACACGGCCCAUACUCCUACGGGAGGCAGCAGUAGGGAAUCUUCCACAAUGGACGAAAGUCUGAUGGAGCAACGCCGCGUGAGUGAAGAAGGUUUUCGGAUCGUAAAGCUCUGUUGUUGGUGAAGCGGUAAUCAACCAGAAAGUCACGGCUAACUACGUGCCAGCAGCCGCGGUAAUAC
RNAcentral lists this ribosomal RNA (408 nucleotides) under uncultured bacterium. Its description in RNAcentral is "partial 16S ribosomal RNA". It matches the Rfam family "Bacterial small subunit ribosomal RNA", at positions 28 to 526 of the family's 1533-position model. The record is from RNAcentral.